This 520-nucleotide ribosomal RNA is filed under the name uncultured Glomus. RNAcentral describes it as "SSU rRNA". It matches the Rfam family "Eukaryotic small subunit ribosomal RNA", at positions 569 to 1093 of the family's 1831-position model. Lineage: Eukaryota; Fungi; Glomeromycota; Glomeromycetes; Glomerales; Glomeraceae. The record is from RNAcentral.
AGCAGCCGCGGUAAUUCCAGCUCCAAUAGCGUAUAUUAAAGUUGUUGCAGUUAAAAGCUCGUAGUUGAAUUUCGGGGUUAGUAAGUUGGUCAUGCCUUUGGUAUGCACUGGCUUUACUGAUUCCUCCUUCUUGACGAACCGUGAUGUCAUUAAUUUGGUGUUGCGGGAAAUCAGGACUGUUACUUUGAAAAAUUAGAGUGUUUAAAGCAGGCUAACGCUUGAAUACAUUAGCAUGGAAUAAUGAAAUAGGACGUUAAUCCUAUUUUGUUGGUUUCUAGGAUCGACGUAAUGAUUAAUAGGGAUAGUUGGGGGCAUUAGUAUUCAAUUGUCAGAGGUGAAAUUCUUGGAUUUAUUGAAGACUAACUACUGCGAAAGCAUUUGCCAAGGAUGUUUUCAUUAAUCAAGAACGAAAGUUAGGGGAUCGAAGACGAUCAGAUACCGUCGUAGUCUUAACCAUAAACUAUGCCGACUAGGGAUCGGAUGAUGUUAAUUCUUUAAUGACUCAUUCGGCGCCUUACGG